RNAcentral lists this transfer RNA (50 nucleotides) under Hymenoloma mulahaceni. RNAcentral's name for it is "partial tRNA-Phe". It matches the Rfam family "tRNA", at positions 1 to 48 of the family's 71-position model. From Rfam's summary of the family: Transfer RNA (tRNA) molecules are approximately 80 nucleotides in length. Their secondary structure includes four short double-helical elements and three loops (D, anti-codon, and T loops). Further hydrogen bonds mediate the characteristic L-shaped molecular structure. tRNAs have two regions of fundamental functional importance: the anti-codon, which is responsible for specific mRNA codon recognition, and the 3' end, to which the tRNAs corresponding amino acid is attached (by aminoacyl-tRNA synthetases). tRNAs cope with the degeneracy of the genetic code in two manners: having more than one tRNA (with a specific anti-codon) for a particular amino acid; and 'wobble' base-pairing, i.e. permitting non-standard base-pairing at the 3rd anti-codon position. Lineage: Eukaryota; Viridiplantae; Streptophyta; Bryopsida; Dicranales; Rhabdoweisiaceae. The record is from RNAcentral.
GCCGAGAUAGCUCANUUGGUAGAGCAGAGGACUGAAAAUCCUCGUGUCNC